RNAcentral lists this ribosomal RNA (253 nucleotides) under uncultured bacterium. RNAcentral describes it as "partial 16S ribosomal RNA". It matches the Rfam family "Bacterial small subunit ribosomal RNA", at positions 524 to 776 of the family's 1533-position model. The record is from RNAcentral.
UACGUAGGGCGCAAGCGUUAUCCGGAAUUAUUGGGCGUAAAGAGCUCGUAGGCGGUCUGUCGCGUCGGCUGUGAAAACUCGGGGCUCAACCCCGAGCCUGCAGUCGAUACGGGCAGACUAGAGUGCGGUAGGGGAGACUGGAAUUCCUGGUGUAGCGGUGAAAUGCGCAGAUAUCAGGAGGAACACCGGUGGCGAAGGCGGGUCUCUGGGCCGACACUGACGCUGAUGCGCGAAAGCGUGGGGAGCAAACAGG